GAUGAAGAACUUAGCGAAAUGCGAUAAGUAAUGUGAAUUGCAGAAUUCAGUGAAUCAUCGAAUCUUUGAACGCAUCUUGCGCUCCUUGGUAUUCUGAGGAGCAUGCCUGUUUGAGUGUCAUUAAAUUCUCAACUACACUGACUUUGAAUUGGUGUGGCUUGGAUUUGGGGGGAAAAUUGUUGUGGGCUUUUUGUAUAGUCUGCUCCCCUGAAAUUGAUUAGCGGUACCUUUGUGGAACUGUCUACAGGUGUGAUAAUUAUCUACAUCUUAGACAUCUGCUGGAAUGCUGCUUUCUAAACCUUACUUGUAUUGACAAUCUUGACCUCAAAUCAGGUAGGACUACCCGCUGAACUUAAGCAUAUCAAUAAGCGGAGGA
Molecule: unclassified non-coding RNA, 376 nt
Filed under: soil metagenome
Description: partial contains 5.8S ribosomal RNA, internal transcribed spacer 2, and large subunit ribosomal RNA
Rfam family: 5.8S ribosomal RNA (bases 1-120)
Source: RNAcentral